AGCUCAGGAGGGAUAGCGCCA
Molecule: non-coding RNA, 21 nt
Filed under: Arabidopsis thaliana (thale cress)
Lineage: Eukaryota; Viridiplantae; Streptophyta; Magnoliopsida; Brassicales; Brassicaceae
Source: RNAcentral